This 231-nucleotide ribosomal RNA is filed under the name Clostridioides difficile. Its description in RNAcentral is "partial 23S ribosomal RNA". It matches the Rfam family "Bacterial large subunit ribosomal RNA", at positions 194 to 427 of the family's 2925-position model. The record is from RNAcentral. Lineage: Bacteria; Bacillati; Bacillota; Clostridia; Peptostreptococcales; Peptostreptococcaceae.
UGAAACAUCUAAGUACCUGAAGGAAGAGAAAGAAAUUCGAUUCCGUAAGUAGCGGCGAGCGAACGCGGAUUAGCCCAAACCAAUAAAGUUUUCUUUAUUGGGGGUGCGGACAUAUCAUAACGAAGAGGUAUCGUAAUUGAAGAGGUUUGGAAAGACCCACCACAGAAGGUAAUAGUCCUGUAUGUUAAACGAGAAGACUUCAGAUAUGAUCCAGAGUACCACGGGACACGU